Molecule: ribosomal RNA, 759 nt
Filed under: uncultured archaeon
Lineage: Archaea
Description: bacterial SSU rRNA
Rfam family: Archaeal small subunit ribosomal RNA
Source: RNAcentral
UCCGGUUGAUCCUGCCGGACCCGACUGCUAUUUGGGUGAGGAUAAGCCAUGCGAGUCGAAUGGGAUACCUAAAUUUCCCAUGGCAAACUGCUCAUUAACACAUGAUCAACUUACCCUAUAGAGAAAAAUAACCUCGGGAAACUGAGGAUAAUAUUUCGUAGUUGAAUAGGCUUGGAAAAGUUUUUCAAUAAAAGGGAUAAAAAAAAUGGUUUUUAUCUGCUAUAGGAUAGGAUCGUGGACGAUUAUGGUUGUUGGUGAGGUAACGGCUCACCAAGCCGAUAAUCGAUAGGGGCCGUGAGAGCGGGAGCCCCGAGAUGGGUACUGAGACAACGACCCAGGCCUUACGAGGCGCAGCAGGCGCGGAACCUCCGCAAUACACGAAAGUGUGACGGGGUUACCCAAAGUGUUCAAUUCUGAACUGUGGUAGGUGAGUAAUGUUCCCUACUAGAAAGGAGAGGGCAAGGCUGGUGCCAGCCGCCGCGGUAAAACCAGCUCUUCAAGUGGUCGGGAUAAUUAUUGGGCUUAAAGUGUCCGUAGCCGGUUUAGUAAGUUCCUGGUAAAAUCGGGUAGCUUAACUAUCUGUAUGCUAGGAAUACUGCUAUACUAGAGGGCGGGAGAGGUCUGAGGUACUACAGGGGUAGGGGUGAAAUCUUAUAAUCCUUGUAGGACCACCAGUGGCGAAGGCGUCAGACUGGAACGCGCCUGACGGUGAGGGACGAAAGCCAGGGGAGCAAACCGGAUUAGAUACCCCGGUAGUCC